RNAcentral lists this ribosomal RNA (253 nucleotides) under uncultured bacterium. Its description in RNAcentral is "partial 16S ribosomal RNA". It matches the Rfam family "Bacterial small subunit ribosomal RNA", at positions 524 to 776 of the family's 1533-position model. The record is from RNAcentral.
UACGUAGGGUGCGAGCGUUAAUCGGAAUUACUGGGCGUAAAGCGUGCGCAGGCGGUUCGUUAAGUCAGCUGUGAAAGCCCCGGGCUUAACCUGGGAAUGGCGGUUGAAACUGGCGAACUUGAAUCUGGCAGAGGGGGGUGGAAUUCCACGUGUAGCAGUGAAAUGCGUAGAGAUGUGGAGGAACACCGAUGGCGAAGGCAGCCCCCUGGGCCAAGAUUGACGCUCAGGCACGAAAGCGUGGGGAGCAAACAGG